This 429-nucleotide ribosomal RNA is filed under the name Chloroflexota bacterium. Its description in RNAcentral is "Chloroflexi bacterium partial 16S ribosomal RNA". It matches the Rfam family "Bacterial small subunit ribosomal RNA", at positions 355 to 776 of the family's 1533-position model. The record is from RNAcentral. Lineage: Bacteria; Bacillati; Chloroflexota.
UGGGGAAUAUUGCACAAUGGGCGCAAGCCUGAUGCAGCCAUGCCGCGUGUAUGAAGAAGGCCUUCGGGUUGUAAAGUACUUUCAGCGGGGAGGAAGGGAGUAAAGUUAAUACCUUUGCUCAUUGACGUUACCCGCAGAAGAAGCACCGGCUAACUCCGUGCCAGCAGCCGCGGUAAUACGGAGGGUGCAAGCGUUAUUCGGAAUUACUGGGCGUAAAGCGCACGCAGGCGGUUUGUUAAGUCAGAUGUGAAAUCCUCGGGCUCAACCUGGGAACUGCAUCUGAUACUGGCAAGCUUGAGUCUCGUAGAGGGGGGUAGAAUUCCGGGUGUAGCGGUGAAAUGCGUAGAGAUCUGGAGGAAUACCGGUGGCGAAGGCGGCCCCCUGGACAAAGACUGACGCUCAGGUGCGAAAGCGUGGGGAGCAAACAGG